Molecule: ribosomal RNA, 406 nt
Filed under: uncultured bacterium
Lineage: Bacteria
Description: partial 16S ribosomal RNA
Rfam family: Bacterial small subunit ribosomal RNA
Source: RNAcentral
AUUGAACUCUGGCGGCAGGCCUAACACAUGCAAGUCGAGCGAGCGGCGGACGGGUGGAUAAUGUAUGUGGAUCUGCCUGAUGGAGGGGGAUAACUACUGGCAACGGUAGCUAUUACCGCAUACCAUCAGAUGAACCCAUCUGGGAUGAGCUUGUAGGUGAGGUAACGGCUCACCUAGGCGACGAUCCCUAGCUGGUCUGAGAGGAUGAUCAGCCGCACGGUGACUGAGACACGGCCCAGACGCCUACGGGAGGCAGCAGUGGGGAAUAUUGCACAAUGGGAGAAAGCCUGAUGCAGCCAUGCCGCGUGUAUGAUGAAGGUAUUCGGGUUGUAAAGUACUUUCAGUCGGGAGGCGUUACCGACAGAAGAAGCACCGGCUAACUCCGUGCCAGCAGCCGCGGUAAUAC